Molecule: transfer RNA, 67 nt
Filed under: Marmota monax (woodchuck)
Lineage: Eukaryota; Metazoa; Chordata; Mammalia; Rodentia; Sciuridae
Description: tRNA.Ala
Source: RNAcentral
GGUCAUGGCUCAGUGGUAGAGCACUUGCCUAGCAUGUGUGAGGCACUGGGUUCAACUCUCAGCACCA